RNAcentral lists this ribosomal RNA (232 nucleotides) under uncultured bacterium. RNAcentral's name for it is "partial 16S ribosomal RNA". It matches the Rfam family "Bacterial small subunit ribosomal RNA", at positions 1268 to 1500 of the family's 1533-position model. The record is from RNAcentral.
CGAAUCCAGAAAAUAAUGUCCCAGUUCAGAUUGCAGGCUGCAACUCGCCUGCAUGAAGUCGGAAUUGCUAGUAAUCGCAGAUCAGCAUGCUGUGGUGAAUACGUUCCCGGGCCUUGUACACACCGCCCGUCACACCAUGGGAGUUGGAGAUACCCGAAGCCUAUGAGCUAACUUUUAGAGGCAGUAGUCGAAGGUAGAAUCAAUGAUUGGGGUGAAGUCGUAACAAGGUAUC